GAGUUUGAUCCUGGCUCAGGAUGAACGCUAGCGGCAGGCUUAAUACAUGCAAGUCGAGGGGCAGCAGGACUGUAGCAAUACAGUUGCUGGCGACCGGCAAACGGGUGCGGAACACGUACGCAACCUUCCUUCAAAUGAGGAAUAGCCUUUCGAAAGAGAGAUUAAUACCUCGUAACAUUUUCUGGUGGCAUCACUGGAUUAUUAUAGCUCCGGCGUUUGAAGAUGGGCGUGCGGCUGAUUAGGUAGUUGGCGGAGUAAUAGCCCACCAAGCCUACGAUCAGUAACUGGUGUGAGAGCACGACCAGUCACACGGGCACU
This 318-nucleotide ribosomal RNA is filed under the name uncultured Sphingobacterium sp. RNAcentral describes it as "bacterial SSU rRNA". It matches the Rfam family "Bacterial small subunit ribosomal RNA", at positions 9 to 320 of the family's 1533-position model. The record is from RNAcentral. Lineage: Bacteria; Pseudomonadati; Bacteroidota; Sphingobacteriia; Sphingobacteriales; Sphingobacteriaceae.